UUCGGUGUCAUUCCUGUCCGCCACGGAGGCAGAGACUGCCCUCAGAUGCCUGGCUCCAGGUGCCCGGCCCUUCAGGGGGGCGGUCCGCAGGGAGCUCACAGUGACUGGCAGCCAGCUGCUUAUCCGAAUAGCUGCCGAAAACUCUGGUCUUCUUCAGGUUUCCAUAGCCUCCUUGUUCAACCAGCUGUCCUUGGUGGUGCAGGCCAUGCAGCGCUUUGUGCCUCCAGGGACAUCUCACCGUGGCACAAGGGUGUGAGGCCCAAUCCUGAGUCUGGCCCUAGGCUGAGCGACUUUCUCUAGGGCAGAGACUCCUGGCAUUUGGAGAGAGAACCAGUGGCUCUCUGCUAUGGCCUGAGAAAGCAGUAGAAGAUGGCCCAAGUCAUUUGGGCCCCUGCACCCACGUGGGAGACCCGGAAGAAGCUCCUAGCUCCUGGCUUCAGAUCGGCGCAGCUCUGGCCAUUGCAGCCAAUUGGGAGUGAACCAGCGGGUGGAAGGCCAACCUCUCUCUCUCUCUCUCUCUCUCUCUCUCUCUCUCUGCCUCCUCUUCUC
Molecule: long non-coding RNA, 549 nt
Organism: Lepus europaeus (European hare)
Lineage: Eukaryota; Metazoa; Chordata; Mammalia; Lagomorpha; Leporidae
Exons: 3
Source: RefSeq, a predicted model, not a curated record